AUUUUGCGCAAUGGGCGAAAGCCUGACGCAGCCAUGCCGCGUGAAUGAGGAAGGUCUUAGGAUUGUAAAAUUCUUUCACCGGGGACGAUAAUGACGGUACCGGGAGAAGAAGCCCCGGCUAACUUCGUGCCAGCAGCCGCGGUAAUACGAAGGGGGCUAGCGUUGCUCGGAAUUACUGGUCGUAAAGGGCGCGUAGGCGGACAUUUAAGUCAGGGGUGAAAUCCAAGAGCUCAACUCUGGAACUGCCUUUGAUACUGGCGAUCUUGAGUAUGAGAGAGGGAUGUGGAACUCCGAGUGUAGAGGUGAAAUUCGUAGAUAUUCGGAAGAACACCAGUGGCGAAGGCGACAUACUGGCUCAUUACUGACGCUGAGGCGCGAAAGCAUGGGGAGCGAACA
RNAcentral lists this ribosomal RNA (396 nucleotides) under uncultured bacterium. RNAcentral describes it as "partial 16S ribosomal RNA". It matches the Rfam family "Bacterial small subunit ribosomal RNA", at positions 361 to 774 of the family's 1533-position model. The record is from RNAcentral.